UUCCGGAAGGUGACCCUGCGGAAGGACCAUUA
This 32-nucleotide ribosomal RNA is filed under the name Candida tropicalis. RNAcentral's name for it is "partial 18S ribosomal RNA". The record is from RNAcentral. Lineage: Eukaryota; Fungi; Ascomycota; Pichiomycetes; Serinales; Debaryomycetaceae.